Molecule: ribosomal RNA, 1218 nt
Filed under: metagenome
Description: SSU rRNA
Rfam family: Eukaryotic small subunit ribosomal RNA
Source: RNAcentral
AGUCUGGUGCCAGCAGCCGCGGUAAUUCCAGCUCCAAUAGUGUAUAUUAAAGUUGCUGCAGUUAAAAAGCUCGUAGUUGGAUUUCGGAUAAUAAAAAUUUAAUAUCCAUCCUUAAAAUGUGAUUUAAUUUUUAUUUCCUUCCUUUUGAAUACACUCCCUAAACUCUUUUAGGGAAUUAAGUGUUUCAAAUCGUUUACUGUGAAGAAAUUAGAGUGUUCAAAGCAGGCGUAACCUAGCCUUUGAAUAUAUUAGCAUGGGAUAAUGAAAUAGGACUUUAGUCCUACUUUCGUUGGUUUCUAGGGCUGAAGUAAUGAUUAAUAGGGAUAGUUGGGGUCACUAGUAUUUAAUUGUCAGAGGUGAAAUUCUAAGAUUUAUUAAAGACUAACUACUGCGAAAGCAUUUGACAAGGAUGUUUUCAUUAACCAAGAACGAAAGUUGGGGGAUCGAAGAUGAUCAGAUACCGUCGUAGUCUCAACCAUAAACUAUGCCGACCAAGGAUCCGGGGUUGUUAAUAUGGAUGACUCUCCGGGCACUUAUAGAGAAAUCAUAAGUAUUUGGGCUCCGGGGGGAGUAUGGUCGCAAGGCUGAAACUUAAAGGAAUUGACGGAAGGGCACCACAAGGAGUGGAACCUGCGGUUUAAUUUGACUCAACACGGGGAAACUUACCAGGUCCAGACACAGUGAGGAUUGACAGAUUGAGAGUUCUUUCUUGAUUCUGUGAGUGGUGGUGCAUGGCCGUUUCUAGUUGGUGGAGUGAUUUGUCUGGUUAAUUCCGUUAACGAACGAGACCUUAACCUAUUAAAUAGUUGUUUGAACUUGAUUUUUUAAAUCAAAUGUUCAUUUAACUUCUUAGAGGGACUCUUCACUGAGAGAGUGAAUGGAAGUUUGAGGCAAAAACAGGUCUGUGAUGCCCUUAGAUGUUCUGGGCCACACGCGCGUUACACUGACAUAUUCAACGAGCAUUAUCCUUGCCCGUCGGGGUUGGGUAAUCUUUUAAAUGUAUGUCGUGCUGGGGAUAGAUCAUUGUAAUUAUUGGUCUUGAACGAGGAAUUCCUAGUAAGUGCGAGUCAUCAACUCGCGCUGAUUACGUCCCUGCCCUUUGUACACGCCGCCCGUCGCUCCUACCGAUUGAAUGGUCCGGCGAGAACUCAGGAUGGAUAUGGAUUUUGGACCCGUUAGGUGUUCCAACCAUAUCCAGAAUUUGUUCAAACCUUACCA